This 1338-nucleotide ribosomal RNA is filed under the name Phytophthora infestans (potato late blight agent). RNAcentral's name for it is "eukaryotic LSU rRNA". It matches the Rfam family "Eukaryotic large subunit ribosomal RNA", at positions 26 to 1155 of the family's 3401-position model. Lineage: Eukaryota; Oomycota; Peronosporomycetes; Peronosporales; Peronosporaceae. The record is from RNAcentral.
CGCUGAACUUAAGCAUAUUAAUAAGCGGAGGAAAAGAAACUAACAAGGAUUCCCCUAGUAACGGCGAGUGAAGCGGGAAGAGCUCAAGCUUAAAAUCUCCGUGCAAGUUUUGCGCGGCGAAUUGUAGUCUAUAGAGGCGUGAUCAGUGUGGGCGCUUGGGGCAAGUUCCUUGGAAGAGGACAGCAUGGAGGGUGAUACUCCCGUUCAUCCCUGAGUUGCUCGUGCGUACGAUCCGUUUUCUUUGAGUCGCGUUGUUUGGGAAUGCAGCGCAAAGUAGGUGGUAAAUUCCAUCUAAAGCUAAAUAUUGGUGCGAGACCGAUAGCGAACAAGUACCGUGAGGGAAAGAUGAAAAGAACUUUGAAAAGAGAGUUAAAGAGUACCUGAAACUGCUGAAAGGGAACCGAAUCGUUUCCAGUGUCUAUAAUCCGUGGUAUAUUUCAUUGGCGAGUGUGUGCGUGCGUGUGCUGUGGCAGCGGCUUUUUUGGCUGCGCUCGGCGUGUGUGCUGUGUGUGCUUGCUGGUGCCCUGUGCUGCGGUGGGACGUCAAGGUCAGUUCGUAUGCUGCGGGAAAUGGCCGCCGAGGAGGUAGGGCUUACGCUUGCGUUUGUCUGUUAUAUCUUGGUGGACGAGUAGUCGCGGUUGGGACUGAGGUGCCUACAACGUGUUUUUGAGUGGGCCUGUGUCUCUGUGUGCGCCGUGUGCGGAUAGCUUGCUAUGCGUGUGUGGUUGUGUGUGGAUUGAUGUGGGUUUUAACUUGUUGCCGUUCGGGACGUUGACGAAAUGGAGCGAUUUGACCCGUCUUGAAACACGGACCAAGGAGUCUAACAUGUGUGCAAGUGUUAGGGUGUGGAAACCCCAGCGCGAAAUGAAAGUGAAGGGCAGCGUAAGUUGUCUGAGGUAGGAAAUGCUGCGGGCUUCGGUCUGCGGUGUGGCACUAUCGACCGAUCAUGAACCUUCGUGGUGAAAGAUUUGAGUUUGAGCACAUAUGUUGGUACCCGAAAGAUGGUGAACUAUGCCUGAGUAGGGUGAAGCCAGGGGAAACUCUGGUGGAAGCUCGUAGCGAUUCUGACGUGCAAAUCGAUCGUCAAACUUGGGUAUAGGGGCGAAAGACUAAUCGAACCAUCUAGUAGCUGGUUCCCUCCGAAAUUUCCCUCAGGAUAGCAGCAACUUAUUUACGAUAGUUUUAUGAGGUAAAGCGAAUGAUUAGAGGAUUCGGGGAAGAAACUUCCUCGACCUAUUCUCAAACUUUAAAUCUGUAAGACCUGCAGGUUUCUUAAUUGAACUUGUGGAUGUGAAUAUCAAGUUGCUAGUGGGCCAUACGGGGUAAGCUCGUCUGGCG